This 633-nucleotide unclassified non-coding RNA is filed under the name Hevea brasiliensis (rubber tree). Lineage: Eukaryota; Viridiplantae; Streptophyta; Magnoliopsida; Malpighiales; Euphorbiaceae. The record is from RNAcentral.
AGGACUUGAAGCUUGAUGUGGAUACGAAGGAUGAAGAUGCUGAGACUCCUCUUCUUCAUGCUGCUCGGCAAGGACAUACUGCUACUGCUAAAUACCUUAUUGAGCAUGGUGCCGAUCCUUCCAUUCCAAGUGAUUUAGGGGCCACAGCUUUGCAUCAUUCUGCAGGGAUAUGUAUUUUUUAAUUUUAUCCUUUCCUCUUUCUUUGUGGUUGUAGGGGACAAGUCUAGACAAUCUGCAGCGUGGCUUUGCUGCUUGCUUAAUCUCUGUGAUGAUUUGCAUAUGGCGAAUUUGCAAUAAGAAUUAAAGCAUAUCCCAGUUUUCUUCCCUAGAUUCAUUUGGCCAUCUGAUCAGAUUUUUACUUCAAUGUUUUCGCUCUUGGUUGCAGGAAAUAUUGAGUUGCUGAGUUAUUUGCGCUCCGAGGGUGUUGAGGUUGAUUCAGGAAGUGAUGCCGGCACUCCUUUAAUUUGGGCUGCCGGUCAUGCUCAGCCUGAUGCUUUGAAAGUUUUGUUAGAGCACCAUGCUAACGCAGCAUUUGCUCUUUUUGUGGUUCUUUCUAUGUUAAUUAGUGUCAUUAUGAUAAAAGGUCAAAUUGUAUCUUCUUUGUGUUAUAUUGGUUUUUGAUUAAAAUAUGUG